Molecule: ribosomal RNA, 397 nt
Filed under: uncultured bacterium
Lineage: Bacteria
Description: partial 16S ribosomal RNA
Rfam family: Bacterial small subunit ribosomal RNA
Source: RNAcentral
AUACGUAGGGGGCGAGCGUUGUCCGGAAUGAUUGGGCGUAAAGGGCGCGUAGGCGGCGCGGUAAGUCUGGAGUGAAAGUCCUGCUUUCAAGGUGGGAAUUGCUUUGGAUACUGCCGCGCUUGAGUGCAGGAGAGGUUAUCGGAAUUCCCGGUGUAGCGGUGAAAUGCGUAGAGAUCGGGAGGAACACCAGUGGCGAAGGCGGGUAACUGGACUGCAACUGACGCUGAGGCGCGAAAGUGUGGGGAGCAAACAGGAUUAGAUACCCUGGUAGUCCACACUGUAAACGAUGAAUGCUAGGUGUAAGAGGUAUCGGCCCCUUUUGUGCCGGAGUCAACACAAUAAGCAUUCCGCCUGGGGAGUACGGCCGCAAGGUUGAAACUCAAAUGAAUUGACGGGU